AAAAAUACCGCCUCAGUUCGGAUUGUAGUCUGCAACCCGACUACAUGAAGCCGGAAUCGCUAGUAAUCGCGAAUCAGAAUGUCGCGGUGAAUACGUUCCCGGGUCUUGUACACACCGCCCGUCACACCAUGAGAGUCGGGAACACCCGAAGUCCGUAGUCUAACCCGCAAGGGGAGGGCGCGGCCGAAGGUGGGUCCGGUAAUUGGGGUGAAGUCGUAACAAGGUAAC
RNAcentral lists this ribosomal RNA (228 nucleotides) under uncultured bacterium. RNAcentral's name for it is "partial 16S ribosomal RNA". It matches the Rfam family "Bacterial small subunit ribosomal RNA", at positions 1276 to 1500 of the family's 1533-position model. The record is from RNAcentral.